This 497-nucleotide ribosomal RNA is filed under the name uncultured bacterium. RNAcentral describes it as "partial 16S ribosomal RNA". It matches the Rfam family "Bacterial small subunit ribosomal RNA", at positions 28 to 507 of the family's 1533-position model. The record is from RNAcentral.
GAUGAACGCUGGCGGCGUGCCUAAUACAUGCAAGUCGAGCGAACAGAUGAGGAGCUUGCUCCUCUGACGUUAGCGGCGGACGGGUGAGUAACACGUGGAUAACCUACCUAUAAGACUGGGAUAACUUCGGGAAACCGGAGCUAAUACCGGAUAAUAUAUUGAACCGCAUGGCUCAAUAGUGAAAGACGGUUUUGCUGUCACUUAUAGAUGGAUCCGCGCCGCAUUAGCUAGUUGGUAAGGUAACGGCUUACCAAGGCGACGAUGCGUAGCCGACCUGAGAGGGUGAUCGGCCACACUGGAACUGAGCCACGGUCCAGACUCCUACGGGAGGCAGCAGUAGGGAAUCUUCCGCAAAGGGCGAAAGCCUGACGGAGCAACGCCGCGUGAGUGAUGAAGGUCUUCGGAUCGUAAAACUCUGUUAUUAGGGAAGAACAAAUGUGUAAGUAACUAUGCACGUCUUGACGGUACCUAAUCAGAAAGCCACGGCUAACUACGUG